This is a long non-coding RNA of Triticum dicoccoides, 887 nucleotides long. RefSeq lists it as uncharacterized. The transcript is spliced from 3 exons. The record is from RefSeq and is a predicted model, not a curated record. NCBI's taxonomy places the organism in Eukaryota, Viridiplantae, Streptophyta, Magnoliopsida, Poales, Poaceae.
CCUCUGAUCCAUCCAUCUGUGACCGCCGGAUGGAGAUCCAACGGCCACUUGAGCGCCCGAGCUUCCUACAACGCUCGAUUCAGAUCGGAUCGAGGCCUCCACGAGCGCAGCCCCGAGCUCCCAAUCAAGUCCCCUCUGCCGCCUCGUCCACGUCGGAGCACUGCCAGAUCACCGGACCACCGCCUCUGCUGCGUCCCUGCUCCCUACUCUGUCCAUCUCUCUUUUCCUUCUUCUCUCUAUCUCCUAAUAUCUCCAUCUCUCUCUGUAACUCGCAGCAACAUUAGACCACCAUGGCCACCCGAGGCACGGAGCUUCGCCGCAGCAGCGACCUCCAUGGACCCCGACCGCCGACUCGGAGCUCCUCGCCGCCAAGCUUUGACCCGCUCGGAGUCGUUCCCCAGGUCGCUGGACCUCCCUACAAGCUCUGUCGCCGCCGUCAAACCUGCUUCCCCUGCUCCACGCCGGACUCGGCUUCCUCGUCAUCUCCAGCAACGGCCAGAGCGCCAAGACCCUCCGCCUCGUCCCGCUCGCCUUCUUCGAGCACCUGCACUCCAUGCCAAGCUCGUCCUCAAGCCCGACGCAGGGAACAACACGAGCACCUCAGUGAUCGCCGCCACCGGGAUUCGCCAGGUCUGGUGAGGCCCUGCGUUCCCUGCCUCCUCCCCGCCAAGUUCGCUGAUGCCGUCCUGUUUCUUCCCGGCGAGCACUUCGCCUCUGCUUCGAGGACGAUCCAGGCGCGCCCCGCGUUGACUCUCGGUAUCGACCGCGCCAAGUAGUAGCGAGAUUGGGCCCAAGCCGCUUCCCUGCUGCCACAUCUCCACCGAGCUGGGCCAGGCCCAUGUUCCGAUAACGUCGCGUUUGUGAGGAUCCAUUCGACUACGUCUGUU